This 1313-nucleotide ribosomal RNA is filed under the name Desulfovibrio sp. enrichment clone BenSRB4. RNAcentral's name for it is "partial 16S ribosomal RNA". It matches the Rfam family "Bacterial small subunit ribosomal RNA", at positions 8 to 1286 of the family's 1533-position model. Lineage: Bacteria; Pseudomonadati; Thermodesulfobacteriota; Desulfovibrionia; Desulfovibrionales; Desulfovibrionaceae. The record is from RNAcentral.
AGAGUUUGAUCCUGGCUCAGAUUGAACGCUGGCGGCGUGCCUAACACAUGCAAGUCGUGCGAGAAAGUGGGCUUCGGCCCGCGAGUACAGCGGCGCACGGGUGAGUAACACGUGGGUGAUCUCCCUAACAGAUUGGGAUAACAGCGGGAAACUGCUGCUAAUACCGGAUACGAUCCACUUAAUCGUGGAUGAAAGGCGGCCUCUGCUUGCAAGCUGCCACUGUUAGAUGAGCCCGCGUCCCAUUAGCUUGUUGGCGGGGUAACGGCCCACCAAGGCGACGAUGGGUAGCUGGUCUGAGAGGAUGACCAGCCACACUGGGACUGAAACACGGCCCAGACUCCUACGGGAGGCAGCAGUGGGGAAUAUUGCGCAAUGGGCGAAAGCCUGACGCAGCGACGCCGUGUGAGGGAAGAAGGCCUUCGGGUCGUAAACCUCUGUCAGAAGGGAAGAACCCCCAAGGUUCGAAUAGGGCUUUGGGCUGACGGUACCUUCAGAGGAAGCACCGGCUAAUUCCGUGCCAGCAGCCGCGGUAAUACGGAAGGUGCAAGCGUUAAUCGGAAUUACUGGGCGUAAAGCGCACGUAGGCUGCUUUGUAAGUCGGAUGUGAAAGCCCUCGGCCCAACCGGGGAACUGCAUUCGAAACUGCAAGGCUGGAGUCCUGGAGAGGGUGGCGGAAUUCCCGGUGUAGGAGUGAAAUCCGUAGAUAUCGGGAGGAACACCAGUGGCGAAGGCGGCCACCUGGACAGGUACUGACGCUGAGGUGCGAAAGUGUGGGGAGCAAACAGGAUUAGAUACCCUGGUAGUCCACACCGUAAACGAUGGAUGCUAGGUGUCGGGGAGUAUUCUUCGGCGCCGUAGCUAACGCGUUAAGCAUCCCGCCCUGGGGAGUACGGUCGAAAGGCUGAAACUCAAAGGAUAUGACGGGGGCCCGCCCAAGCCGUGGAAUAGUGGUUUAAAUCCGUGCACCGCGAGAACCCUUCCUUGGGUGGAAAUCCUCCGAACCUUCCAGAAAUGGAAGGGUGCCUCUCGGGAACCAAAAAACAGGGGCGGCAGGCUGCCUCACCUCCUGGCGGAAGGUGUUGGGUUAGUCCCCCAAGAGCCAACCCUUUUUCCAUUGCAACCCUAAUGGUGGCACUCGGCGAAAUGCCCGGCCACCGGGAGAAGGGGGAAAACUAAAUCUCUGGCCUUAUGCCGGGUUCCCGUUCAAUUGGGAAAAAAGGGAUUACCCGGGGUCGCACCCAAAAUCUCCCCCGGGGCCUCCCCCCCGGAGGGGGACCUAAUCCCAACCGGGGGAAAACCCCCGUCCACCGCCC